RNAcentral lists this transfer RNA (107 nucleotides) under Patescibacteria group bacterium. RNAcentral's name for it is "tRNA-Leu". It matches the Rfam family "tRNA". From Rfam's summary of the family: Transfer RNA (tRNA) molecules are approximately 80 nucleotides in length. Their secondary structure includes four short double-helical elements and three loops (D, anti-codon, and T loops). The record is from RNAcentral.
GGCGCGGUGGCGGAAUUGGUAGACGCGCAGGUCUCAAAAACCUGUGGUGGCAACAUCAUGUGGGUUCAACUCCCACNNUGUGGGUUCGAUUCCCACCCGCGCCACAA